Molecule: ribosomal RNA, 510 nt
Filed under: uncultured bacterium
Lineage: Bacteria
Description: partial 16S ribosomal RNA
Rfam family: Bacterial small subunit ribosomal RNA
Source: RNAcentral
GACGAACGCUGGCGGCGUGCUUAACACAUGCAAGUCGAACGAAGAGCGACGGAAGCUUGCUUCUAUCAAUCUUAGUGGCGAACGGGUGAGUAACGCGUAAUCAACCUGCCCUUCAGAGGGGGACAACAGUUGGAAACGACUGCUAAUACCGCAUACGAUCUAACCUCGGCAUCGAGGAUAGAUGAAAGGUGGCCUCUACAUGUAAGCUAUCACUGAAGGAGGGGAUUGCGUCUGAUUAGCUAGUUGGAGGGGUAACGGCCCACCAAGGCGAUGAUCAGUAGCCGGUCUGAGAGGAUGAACGGCCACAUUGGGACUGAGACACGGCCCAGACUCCUACGGGAGGCAGCAGUGGGGAAUCUUCCGCAAUGGACGAAAGUCUGACGGAGCAACGCCGCGUGAGUGAUGACGGCCUUCGGGUUGUAAAGCUCUGUUAAUCGUGACGAAAGGCCUUCUUGCGAAUAGUGAGAAGGAUUGACGGUACCGGAAUAGAAAGCCACGGCUAACUACGUG